UAAAAUCCGGACCGAGUCCAGCCCACACGCACCACUAUACUCUCUCUUUUCCCCCCUCCCCUUUACCCCUAAACCCUAAGCCGCCGCCCCACUUUUCUCUUCUCUUUCAUGUCAAAAAUGGCAACUCUGCAGGAUCGAGAGAGAUCAGGCUCAAAUCGAGCCAUUCGUUGUUAGCAAGGAGUUUGGAUCGGAAGCACAAGGCUCCAAAUUCGAUCUUGUUGGCGGCUGCACAUCAAAAAGAGUUCGUCACAGGCUCUGCUUCUACACCUCGCGAGUGAUCCCGAGGCCCAUUGCUAGAGUUUCCAGGAUGAGCCAUGUUCCAGAUCCGCAGCCCCUAAAACUCUUCUUUCAUGAUAUUUGUCCUUCUGUUCCGAUACAGUAUUUCAGACUCUUAUGCAUCUGUUAUUUUCAGCCAUAUGUAGUUUAUAGUGGCUCUUGUACUAUACUUAGACUAGAUUUUUAGUAUUUUGUAUUCGUAUUCCGCACUUAGUAGUUAUUUAUAUAUUAAGACUGCUUAAACAA
Molecule: long non-coding RNA, 522 nt
Organism: Lycium barbarum (goji berry)
Lineage: Eukaryota; Viridiplantae; Streptophyta; Magnoliopsida; Solanales; Solanaceae
Exons: 3
Source: RefSeq, a predicted model, not a curated record